GAUUAACGCUAGCGGCAGGCCUAAUACAUGCAAGUCGAACGGCAGCACGGGUAGCAAUACCUGGUGGCGAGUGGCGCACGGGUGAGUAACACGUAUGCAAUCUACCUUUAACUGGGAAUAACCCUUCGAAGAAGGGCUAAUACCGCAUAACACUUCGAGAAGGCAUCUUCAUGAAGUUAAACCUCCGGGAGUUAAAGAUGAGCAUGCGCUCGAUUAGUUAGUUGGUGAGGUAAUGGCUCACCAAGACUUCGAUCGAUAGGGGUCGUNA
This 268-nucleotide ribosomal RNA is filed under the name uncultured bacterium. RNAcentral's name for it is "partial 16S ribosomal RNA". It matches the Rfam family "Bacterial small subunit ribosomal RNA", at positions 28 to 295 of the family's 1533-position model. The record is from RNAcentral.